AGCAGCCGCGGUAAUUCCAGCUCCAAUAGCGUAUAUUAAAGUUGUUGCAGUUAAAAAGCUCGUAGUUGAAUUUCGGGAUCAAUAUAUCGGUCGUGCCUUGGUACGUACUGGUAUCAUUGGUUUCUCCUUUCUGACGAACCAUGAUGUCAUUAAUUUGGUGUUAUGGGAAGUUAGGACUGUUACUUUGAAAAAAUUAGGGUGUUUAAAGCAGGCUUUAGCUUGAAUACAUUAGCAUGGAAUAAUGAAAUAGGACGUUCGAACCUAUUUUGUUGGUUUCUAGGAUUCAACGUAAUGAUUAAUAGGGAUAGUUGGGGGCAUUAGUAU
Molecule: ribosomal RNA, 324 nt
Filed under: uncultured Glomeromycotina
Lineage: Eukaryota; Fungi; Glomeromycota
Description: SSU rRNA
Rfam family: Eukaryotic small subunit ribosomal RNA
Source: RNAcentral